Molecule: long non-coding RNA, 94 nt
Organism: Nomascus leucogenys (northern white-cheeked gibbon)
Lineage: Eukaryota; Metazoa; Chordata; Mammalia; Primates; Hylobatidae
Exons: 3
Source: RefSeq, a predicted model, not a curated record
CCUCCAGCUUUGUUCAUUUUGCUCAGGGUUGCUUUGGCUCUUCAGGGUCUUGUGUGGUUGCAUAUAAAUUUUAAGGUUUAAAAACUCUCUUUCU